CUUUCUCAGUUUAAAACUGCCCCCCACCAAUCUUAUCACUAUUCUCCUGUUUAUGUGCUCCCUUCGAGUCCUGGGGAGCCCUCAGCACUUUGAGGUCCUUCUGAUGCAUCAUUUUGCUCUCUCUGCUGCUGUUACCUCACUCCAGCCCUCAGCUAGAAGAAAUAAUGUGAUUUCCUAAAACGUGGGAAUUAGCAAGUCAAGCCCAGAGAAUUAAAACUGCCCGGAGGCUCAGCUGCCCUGAAAGAAUCCAGUAAAACUCCAUCUCAAGCUAGCAAGAAGCGGAACACGGCAUCUAUUUUUGUUAUGACAUCCUUGAGGUCAGCCCAGCAACAGGGAGGGGAAGAAAUUAAAAGACCCAAACAUUUGCAAGACUGCUCGAUGUUUUAAGGACCUGUAAGGAGGCUGAGGAAUAAGACGUCUGACACAGAGAACUGUGGCUGAAACCUUCCUAAGACUGCUGCCAUUGUGCAAACCAAGUGCACACCAGUAGGAGAGCAGUGCCACAACCGAGCAAUGGCACAAAGCAUCACAGGAGGGGGAGAGAUGGGUUCAGCACUGCGGAGAGCUCCCUCAUCCCACCGCCACGUGUGCGCCAUGGAGUGAGUUUGUUCAGCGUAAAUCCUCUUCUUUAGACUCAUUAAAGUGCGCCAAGC
This 653-nucleotide long non-coding RNA is filed under the name Gallus gallus (chicken). Its description in RNAcentral is "long non-coding RNA NONGGAT005031". The record is from RNAcentral. Lineage: Eukaryota; Metazoa; Chordata; Aves; Galliformes; Phasianidae.